AUNUAGUGUAGCAUGCCCGUUAGGUGUUAAACUCUGAUUUACUUUGAUAUUUAUGAUGUUGGGAAAACGGGGUGUUACACAGGA
This is a microRNA precursor of Medicago truncatula (barrel medic), 84 nucleotides long. It matches the Rfam family "MIR2617 microRNA precursor family". The record is from Rfam. NCBI's taxonomy places the organism in Eukaryota, Viridiplantae, Streptophyta, Magnoliopsida, Fabales, Fabaceae.